This 508-nucleotide ribosomal RNA is filed under the name Salmonella enterica. RNAcentral's name for it is "bacterial SSU rRNA". It matches the Rfam family "Bacterial small subunit ribosomal RNA", at positions 1035 to 1533 of the family's 1533-position model. Lineage: Bacteria; Pseudomonadati; Pseudomonadota; Gammaproteobacteria; Enterobacterales; Enterobacteriaceae. The record is from RNAcentral.
CAGGUGCUGCAUGGCUGUCGUCAGCUCGUGUUGUGAAAUGUUGGGUUAAGUCCCGCAACGAGCGCAACCCUUAUCCUUUGUUGCCAGCGGUCCGGCCGGGAACUCAAAGGAGACUGCCAGUGAUAAACUGGAGGAAGGUGGGGAUGACGUCAAGUCAUCAUGGCCCUUACGACCAGGGCUACACACGUGCUACAAUGGCGCAUACAAAGAGAAGCGACCUCGCGAGAGCAAGCGGACCUCAUAAAGUGCGUCGUAGUCCGGACUGGAGUCUGCAACUCGACUCCAUGAAGUCGGAAUCGCUAGUAAUCGUGGAUCAGAAUGCCACGGUGAAUACGUUCCCGGGCCUUGUACACACCGCCCGUCACACCAUGGGAGUGGGUUGCAAAAGAAGUAGGUAGCUUAACCUUCGGGAGGGCGCUUACCACUUUGUGAUUCAUGACUGGGGUGAAGUCGUAACAAGGUAACCGUAGGGGAACCUGCGGUUGGAUCACCUCCUUACCUGAAAGAA